Molecule: long non-coding RNA, 705 nt
Filed under: Sinocyclocheilus anshuiensis
Lineage: Eukaryota; Metazoa; Chordata; Actinopteri; Cypriniformes; Cyprinidae
Description: lncRNA (ENSSANG00000000672.1)
Source: RNAcentral
UGUUGUUCCCGUUUGUUCUUGCGAGAGUUCUGCCGCAGGGAAUCCCCGUUACGUCAUGGGAUCGGAUGAUUUACACUUCCGAUAAAAGAAGAGGGUUUACCGGCGUUCUGACGCAAUUCUCUGACUGCUCACUGUGAAAAUUUUCGUACUUUGUGAUCGAGUUCAAGCCAGACAGUGACAACAGUGCCUAGGGUCAAAGAAUACGAUGGUCACAGAAUUUGGUGUAACACCGGCGUUCUGGAGCAACUCUUUGACUGCUCACUGUGAAACAUUGCGAUCGAUCGCUCAGUUCAUCUUAUUGUUGUCUUAGUCUGUGACUGUUACGUCUCUUGUUGUGGAAAUAUCACACUUGUGGAAUAUAGAGACUCGUUGGAUUAUUUCUCCUUGGGGAUUCCGUCACAGGACAGCUGUCCCUCGUCGAGCUCCUGGACUUUAAAACACUUCACCGCAUCGGCAGAAGCCACCACAACAGGUGUGGCUAAAAUCACUUUUCCAGCUUUCCCCCUCAAGCGACAGCCUUGUAAAUUGUCAUUUGCAAGUUAUUGGUGUUAAUGUUGUUUUUCACAUGCGUGCUUUUUGUGCUAGUGACGUUUAAUUCGCAAAUAUAUCUGAUACUUUAGUUUUAACACAUUUUUAAUAAACAAAUGGUUCACUUCCAUUCUUUUGGUCCUGACUGCCAAUGAACCAGUUGAGAGAAUGAUUCAG